Molecule: long non-coding RNA, 197 nt
Organism: Symphalangus syndactylus (siamang)
Lineage: Eukaryota; Metazoa; Chordata; Mammalia; Primates; Hylobatidae
Source: RefSeq, a predicted model, not a curated record
AGCGCCUCUUGCCCGGUCGCGUUUACCGAGGAUACGGAAAAGUUUGCCACCCCCUGAUCUUACUCAUCAUUAAGCACAGGGAGCGUUGGGAUCAGUCACGGAGCCCUGCCAGGGAUGAUGGGGAUUGAGAGCAGCCAAAUACCCUACAGGAGGCCAUGCAGCAGCCCACAGCUCUGCAGAGAGAAACUAAACUGGUG